GGGGAAGCCUAAUGCAAGCGCAGAGGAGGAACUUAAACCAGUACUGAGGGACAUUGGAUUCAGGUAAGUGACCGAAGGGGUUUUAGCCUAGCCAAUAAGCAUCUCCUCAUGGAGAUACAUGGAAGCAGUGCAUCUCUAGGGGGAAAGUUCAGCAUCUCCAUGCAGGAAGCACCUCCAGUGGAUGAGUGUUCCUAUGCUGUAAUCUAAACACAGUCUUUUCUCAGCGGCAAAAAGUCUGCAGGGAUUAACUAUACUAACUAUCCUCACCAGAACAACUACAUAGUUGUAGUUGUACUGGUGACUAUAGUGUCCCAUUAAUCUAUG
Non-coding RNA from Pelobates cultripes (western spadefoot toad), 324 nucleotides. The record is from the annotation of a GenBank genome assembly. Lineage: Eukaryota; Metazoa; Chordata; Amphibia; Anura; Pelobatidae.